UGCUGAGUGAGAAGGAGAUAAACGCA
RNAcentral lists this non-coding RNA (26 nucleotides) under Homo sapiens (human). Lineage: Eukaryota; Metazoa; Chordata; Mammalia; Primates; Hominidae. The record is from RNAcentral.